Molecule: long non-coding RNA, 1155 nt
Organism: Silurus meridionalis
Lineage: Eukaryota; Metazoa; Chordata; Actinopteri; Siluriformes; Siluridae
Exons: 4
Source: RefSeq, a predicted model, not a curated record
AAAUUGGUUUGAUGUGUGGCUAACAAUGUGUGUGUAGCCAGGCAAGCACCUACUAGUAGGGGUGUGGUUGGCUAAUUAUCCCAAGACUUUUUAAGCAGGUACUGGGCAAGAGGCCUUGAACUGUGGGCCCUGUUUUAAAAGCACAUGGGAUAUAGUGCUGCUUUGUUUGGUUGAGUUUGAAGUCGCCCCAGAGGAGAUGCAGAUAAAUUGAGCAAUGCUGACUGUGUAUGUUGACAGCUGCUGGUGUAGGUUUGUCAAUAGCUGUUUCUCCCGUGUUGUUUUUGUUUGGUCCCCCGGUUGGCCGGUCUCAGGAGUGUGCUGCAUGGUGGCAGCACGUGUAUUGUGUGAAUUGUUUGUGUAUGAGUCUGGUCUUUCUUUUUUUUUUUUUUUUUUUUUUUUGUAUUCUUUUUUUAUUUGUAUUGAUAUCUUCUCAGCCUUAUGUCCCCAGGUUAACUCAUGGUGCUUGUCUUUUGUGUGCGUGUGUGCAUCCCGUUGUCUAUGGGAUUUAAGUUUGCUGUGGUUUCUUUUGUAGUUAUGAGUGAAGGAUUAUGUUGUAAGUUGUGUAUUAUUAUUUGAAUUGUGGUUAUUGCCUUUUGAGGUGUUUAAUGUAAGAGGGAUGUCCCCCCUAUGCCUAAAGGUUUGCCGCACGCAACGAAAGCAGUUAUCAUAGCGAGAGAGUUGAGCUGGCUGUUAACCUCUUUGAGAGCUGGGACUAAUUCUGGAUGAGCUACUGGUGGAAUCUGUCAGUGGUGCAUGCUCAAUGAACACUGCCUUAAUUAGCAUGUAAAUGAGAGCACGUACGGAGAAGGUAGAUUUUUCUGUACACAUCGUAAUGAGCUGAAGGACAGAGAAAUUAAGAUGCUGAUAGCAUUGCACAAACUGUCAGCAGUGUCAAAGGACAAAGUGGAGUGCAGCAGAGGAGUUUGCUUUGGAGGGGGACAAUGAUUCUUUCUUCAUGUUUGUUUUUUACUUGCAUCUCUCGAUUUAUAUGUUUAUAUGCAUGCAUCUAUCAUUGUAAAGAUGAAUUAAGGUCUACUGCCAAGAAUUAAAAAUGAUUAAACCUAUUUAAAAAAAAGAUAAUAUAAUUGUAUUAUUAAUAAUAAUAAUAUAUCUGUAGAAUAAAAAUCUAAAAUUUGGGGGAUUUUUUUAGAGACA